Molecule: ribosomal RNA, 907 nt
Filed under: Pseudomonas aeruginosa JD318
Lineage: Bacteria; Pseudomonadati; Pseudomonadota; Gammaproteobacteria; Pseudomonadales; Pseudomonadaceae
Description: bacterial SSU rRNA
Rfam family: Bacterial small subunit ribosomal RNA
Source: RNAcentral
AGAGUUUGAUCAUGGCUCAGAUUGAACGCUGGCGGCAGGCCUAACACAUGCAAGUCGAGCGGAUGAAGGGAGCUUGCUCCUGGAUUCAGCGGCGGACGGGUGAGUAAUGCCUAGGAAUCUGCCUGGUAGUGGGGGAUAACGUCCGGAAACGGGCGCUAAUACCGCAUACGUCCUGAGGGAGAAAGUGGGGGAUCUUCGGACCUCACGCUAUCAGAUGAGCCUAGGUCGGAUUAGCUAGUUGGUGGGGUAAAGGCCUACCAAGGCGACGAUCCGUAACUGGUCUGAGAGGAUGAUCAGUCACACUGGAACUGAGACACGGUCCAGACUCCUACGGGAGGCAGCAGUGGGGAAUAUUGGACAAUGGGCGAAAGCCUGAUCCAGCCAUGCCGCGUGUGUGAAGAAGGUCUUCGGAUUGUAAAGCACUUUAAGUUGGGAGGAAGGGCAGUAAGUUAAUACCUUGCUGUUUUGACGUUACCAACAGAAUAAGCACCGGCUAACUUCGUGCCAGCAGCCGCGGUAAUACGAAGGGUGCAAGCGUUAAUCGGAAUUACUGGGCGUAAAGCGCGCGUAGGUGGUUCAGCAAGUUGGAUGUGAAAUCCCCGGGCUCAACCUGGGAACUGCAUCCAAAACUACUGAGCUAGAGUACGGUAGAGGGUGGUGGAAUUUCCUGUGUAGCGGUGAAAUGCGUAGAUAUAGGAAGGAACACCAGUGGCGAAGGCGACCACCUGGACUGAUACUGACACUGAGGUGCGAAAGCGUGGGGAGCAAACAGGAUUAGAUACCCUGGUAGUCCACGCCGUAAACGAUGUCGACUAGCCGUUGGGAUCCUUGAGAUCUUAGUGGCGCAGCUAACGCGAUAAGUCGACCGCCUGGGGAGUACGGCCGCAAGGUUAAAACUCAAAUGAAU